UUUUACGGAGAGUUUGAUCCUGGCUCAGGAUGAACGCUGGCGGCGUGCUUAACACAUGCAAGUCGAACGGUGAAGCCAAGCUUGCUUGGUGGAUCAGUGGCGAACGGGUGAGUAACACGUGAGCAACCUGCCCUGGACUCUGGGAUAAGCGCUGGAAACGGCGUCUAAUACUGGAUAUGAGCCUCUUCCGCAUGGUGGGGGUUGGAAAGAUUUUUUGGUCUGGGAUGGGCUCGCGGCCUAUCAGCUUGUUGGUGAGGUAAUGGCUCACCAAGGCGUCGACGGGUAGCCGGCCUGAGAGGGUGACCGGCCACACUGGGACUGAGACACGGCCCAGACUCCUACGGGAGGCAGCAGUGGGGAAUAUUGCACAAUGGGCG
Molecule: ribosomal RNA, 377 nt
Filed under: Microbacterium sp. SUBG005
Lineage: Bacteria; Bacillati; Actinomycetota; Actinomycetes; Micrococcales; Microbacteriaceae
Description: bacterial SSU rRNA
Rfam family: Bacterial small subunit ribosomal RNA
Source: RNAcentral